Molecule: ribosomal RNA, 569 nt
Filed under: uncultured bacterium
Lineage: Bacteria
Description: bacterial SSU rRNA
Rfam family: Bacterial small subunit ribosomal RNA
Source: RNAcentral
AGACACCACUGUGGAAUAUUGUGCACUAUGGGAGAGCGCGAGACAGAGAAACGGCGUGAGAGAUAAAGACGUUUUGGUAUUAUAAAUCUGUCUGAGAGGAGGAAGUACUACCUGGUUAAUAUAUAUCUAGUUCGACGGUGUCAUCAGAAGAAGCGCAGGGUAAAUCUGCGUCAGCACAGGCGCUAAUAUGGAUAGUGCGCGAGUUGUUUUGAAUUUUUUUGGGUAAAGAGCGCGUAUAGGCGCCUGUAAAUCUGAUAUGAAAAACCCCGGGUCUCACCCCGAAAAGCAUAUGAAAAUGUAGACAACGAGUAUAGGAGAGAAAAAAGGAAUUUUCCGGAGUAGAGGGGAAAUUCGUAGAUAUAUGGAAGAAUACCCGUGGGGAAGAGGACUUUAUGUGGGAAUACUGUCACUGAGACGUGAGAAACGUGGGGAUCACACACGAUUAUAUAUCCCGUUAUUGUCACACGCUCGUUAAACGAAGAGAUACUAGGUAUUGGGGAAGCUGAUCCUUUUGGUGUCCGUAGCUAACGCAAUAAGUUCUCCGCCUGGGGAGUACGGUCGCAAGAUUA